RNAcentral lists this ribosomal RNA (568 nucleotides) under uncultured bacterium. RNAcentral describes it as "bacterial SSU rRNA". It matches the Rfam family "Bacterial small subunit ribosomal RNA", at positions 163 to 746 of the family's 1533-position model. The record is from RNAcentral.
GUAAUGCCUUAUAAGAUACGUUUGUCGCAUGGCAUUUGUAUUAAACGCUCCGGCGCCAUAGGAUGGACCCGCGUCCCAUUAGCUAGUUGGUGAGAUAACAGCUCACCAAGGCCACGAUGGGUAACCGGUCUGAGAGGGCGAACGGUCACACUGGAACUGAGACACGGUCCAGACUCCUACGGGAGGCAGCAGUGGGGAAUAUUGCGCAAUGGGGGCAACCCUGACGCAGCAAUACCGCGUGAGUGAAGAAGGUUUUCGGAUCGUAAAGCUCUGUUAUUGGGGAAGAAAAAAAGACGGUACCCAAGAAGAAAGUUCCGGCUAACUACGUGCCAGCAGCCGCGGUAAUACGUAGGGAACAAGCGUUGUCCGGAUUUACUGGGCGUAAAGGGCACGCAGGCGGUUUUUUAAGUCAGAUGUGAAAGGCCACAGCUCAACUGUGGACAUGCAUUUGAAACUGAAAGACUUGAGUAUUGGAGAGGCAAGUGGAAUUCCUAGUGUAGCGGUGAAAUGCGUAGAUAUUAGGAGGAACACCGGUGGCGAAGGCGGCUUGCUGGACAAAUACUGACGC